AACGAACGCUGGCGGCAUGCCUAACACAUGCAAGUCGAACGAGACCUUCGGGUCUAGUGGCGCACGGGUGCGUAACGCGUGGGAACCUUCCCUUAGGUUCGGAAUAACUCUCCGAAAGGGGUGCCAAUACCGGAUAAUGUCUUCGGACCAAAGACUUAUCGCCCCUGGAUGGGCUCGAGUUGGAUUAGGUAGUUCGUAAGGUUACAGCUUACCAAGGCGACGAUCCGUAGCUGGUUUGAGAGGGGGAUUAGCCACACGGGAACUGAGACACGGCCCAGACGACGACGGGAGGCAGCAGUAGGGAAUAUGCCGCAAUGGGCGAAAGCCUGACGGAGCAACGCCGCGUGAGUGAUGAAGGGUUUCGGAGCGUAAAACUCUGUGAUGAGGGAAGAACAAAUGUGUAAGUAACUGUGCACGUCGUGACGGUACCUAAUCAGAAAGCCACGGCUAACUACGUG
Molecule: ribosomal RNA, 458 nt
Filed under: uncultured bacterium
Lineage: Bacteria
Description: partial 16S ribosomal RNA
Rfam family: Bacterial small subunit ribosomal RNA
Source: RNAcentral